Molecule: ribosomal RNA, 858 nt
Filed under: Mycolicibacterium gilvum
Lineage: Bacteria; Bacillati; Actinomycetota; Actinomycetes; Mycobacteriales; Mycobacteriaceae
Description: bacterial SSU rRNA
Rfam family: Bacterial small subunit ribosomal RNA
Source: RNAcentral
UGCAAGUCGAACGGAAAGGCCCUUCGGGGUACUCGAGUGGCGAACGGGUGAGUAACACGUGGGUGAUCUGCCCUGCACUUUGGGAUAAGCCUGGGAAACUGGGUCUAAUACCGAAUAUGACCGCAUGCUUCAUGGUGUGUGGUGGAAAGCUUUUGCGGUGUGGGAUGGGCCCGCGGCCUAUCAGCUUGUUGGUGGGGUAAUGGCCUACCAAGGCGACGACGGGUAGCCGGCCUGAGAGGGUGUCCGGCCACACUGGGACUGAGAUACGGCCCAGACUCCUACGGGAGGCAGCAGUGGGGAAUAUUGCACAAUGGGCGCAAGCCUGAUGCAGCGACGCCGCGUGAGGGAUGACGGCCUUCGGGUUGUAAACCUCUUUCAGCAGGGACGAAGCGCAAGUGACGGUACCUGUAGAAGAAGCACCGGCCAACUACGUGCCAGCAGCCGCGGUAAUACGUAGGGUGCGAGCGUUGUCCGGAAUUACUGGGCGUAAAGAGCUCGUAGGUGGUUUGUCGCGUUGUUCGUGAAAACUCACAGCUCAACUGUGGGCGUGCGGGCGAUACGGGCAGACUUGAGUACUGCAGGGGAGACUGGAAUUCCUGGUGUAGCGGUGGAAUGCGCAGAUAUCAGGAGGAACACCGGUGGCGAAGGCGGGUCUCUGGGCAGUAACUGACGCUGAGGAGCGAAAGCGUGGGGAGCGAACAGGAUUAGAUACCCUGGUAGUCCACGCCGUAAACGGUGGGUACUAGGUGUGGGUUUCCUUCCUUGGGAUCCGUGCCGUAGCUAACGCAUUAAGUACCCCGCCUGGGGAGUACGGCCGCAAGGCUAAAACUCAAAGAAAUUGACCGGGGGCCCGCACAA